This is a long non-coding RNA of Brachypodium distachyon (stiff brome), 1125 nucleotides long. RefSeq lists it as uncharacterized. NCBI's taxonomy places the organism in Eukaryota, Viridiplantae, Streptophyta, Magnoliopsida, Poales, Poaceae. The transcript has 2 exons. The record is from RefSeq and is a predicted model, not a curated record.
CGUUGUUUCUUGGUGUAUCUCAUUUUUGUAGACACUUCUCCCAUUCUGUCUUGUUUCUUUUAGUGCCUCCAGGACUCUGUCAUCGUUAUAUUACUAGUUAGUACUCCCUCCAAUCCUAAAUUGUUGUCUAAAUAUUACAUGUAUCUAGAUGCUUUUUAAGAAGAAAUAAGUCCAUUUUACCCCCCUCAACUAAUCGAUAAGUCCAAAAAACACCCUAAACUAUGAAACCGGGUAUUUAACCCCCCCGAACUAUCAAAACCGGGCACCCGACCCCCCUGUGCCUGUUUCCUGCUGGUCUGGGCGGUUUUGACCAUGUUGACCACCACGCUGGCAACAAGUGUCUGUCCCGAGCCCUCCUAACCCCGCGCCUAGACCUCUAUCUCUCUUCUCAGAUUCCAAAUCGGGAACCCUAGCUCUGGCGUCGGCAGGGGCUGGACGACGCAGGCCUUGCGGAGGCGGACAUUGGGCGUUGGGGCUGCUGCUAAUCGACUGCUGGAACCUGCGCCCGCCCCUCUUCUUCCUCCCCGACGCCGGCGGCUGCUGCUCGAGCAAUGGAAGAUGACCUAGACUGCAACUAGAAUUGCAAACAGAUUUGAGAAGAUGAUUAAGGCUAAAAAUCAGAGGGAUACCAGCGGAGGAAAAGAGAAGGAAAACCGAAUCGAAUAACGGCUAACUCUGGUCGCGGGAGCUAAAGAACAGAAGAGUGAGAGAAAAGACAGACGGGAGAGAGAAGUCUGGGCAGAUGGGCUCGGGACAGCCACUUGCCAGCCUGGCAUGCCAGCAUGGCGGUCAACAUGGUCAAAACCGCCCAGACCAGCAGGAAACAGGCACAGGGGGGUUGGGUGCCUGGUUUUGAUAGUUCGGGGGGGUUAAAUACCCGGUUUCAUAGUUUAGGGUGUUUUUUGGACUUCUCGAGUAGUUGAGGGGGGUAAAAUGGACUUAUUUCUUUUAAGAAUAGAUACAUCCAUAUUUGGACAAAUUUGAGUCAAGAAUUUAGGAUCAGAGGGAGUACCUACCAGUGCGGUCGUUCCUAAAUUGCCUACUUGGUAAUGUAUUAUCACAGAGGCCGAAUACUAAUUUAUAAGGUGAAUAAGUACAAUCGAAAGAUUCCUUUUGAGGUAUUAA